AUUGAACGCUGGCGGCAGGCCUAACACAUGCAAGUCGAGCGGAAGAAGGGAGCUUGCUCCUGGAUUCAGCGGCGGACGGGUGAGUAAUGCCUAGGAAUCUGCCUGGUAGGGGGGGAUAACGUCCGGAAACGGGCGCUAAUACCGCAUACGUCCUGAGGGAGAAAGUGGGGGAUCUUCGGACCUUACGCUAUCAGAUGAGCCUAGGUCGGAUUAGCUAGUUGGUGGGGUAAAGGCCUACCAAGGCGACGAUCCGUAACUGGUCUGAGAGGAUGAUCAGUCACACUGGAACGGAGACACCGUCCAGACGCCUACGGGAGGCAGCAGUGGGGAAUAUUGGACAAUGGGGGAAAGCCUGAUCCAGCCAUGCCGCGUGUGUGAAGAAGGUCUUCGGAUUGUAAAGCACUUUAAGUUGGGAGGAAGGGCAGUAAGUUAAUACCUUGCUGUUUUGACGUUACCAACAGAAUAAGCACCGGCUAACUUCGUG
This 484-nucleotide ribosomal RNA is filed under the name uncultured bacterium. RNAcentral describes it as "partial 16S ribosomal RNA". It matches the Rfam family "Bacterial small subunit ribosomal RNA", at positions 30 to 507 of the family's 1533-position model. The record is from RNAcentral.